CAUGAGUGUAAAUGCCCACUGUCGAAAAAGGAUAUAUGUUUCUCCUUGUUGUGUUACAGGAGAACCUGAAGAAGCUCAUGGAGAUCUAUGAGAUGCUGGGAUGCGAGGAGGACAUUGUUAACCCGUCCAACGAGCUCAUUAAAGAAGGACAGAUCCUAAAGCUGGCCGCCAGAAACACCUCGUCCAUGGAGAGAUACCUCUUCCUGUUUAACAACAUGUUGCUGUA
Megalobrama amblycephala (Wuchang bream) is the source of this 226-nucleotide long non-coding RNA. RefSeq lists it as uncharacterized. The transcript is spliced from 3 exons. The record is from RefSeq and is a predicted model, not a curated record. NCBI's taxonomy places the organism in Eukaryota, Metazoa, Chordata, Actinopteri, Cypriniformes, Xenocyprididae.